UUAAUCGCUACACAGUGUUUCACGCUUUCAUAGCGAUCUUCAGGCGAUACUACAGUAGUAUCGCCUGAAGAUCGCUUUGAAAGCGUGAAACACUGUGUAGCGAU
Molecule: non-coding RNA, 104 nt
Organism: Paramuricea clavata
Lineage: Eukaryota; Metazoa; Cnidaria; Anthozoa; Malacalcyonacea; Plexauridae
Source: the annotation of a GenBank genome assembly